UAUGCUUAUUGGUGUGAAUCAUGUAGCAUGAAGAGUACUGAGAUAGUAUAUACCUUGCAUGAGUUUGUGUUGGUGGCUGCUGUUAUUAUUGAAUUCAAUGGGGAAGGAACUGAAAUUUUGCAAAUGUUGUUUCCUCAACAAAUGCAGAAAGAACCAAGUAUGAAAUGAAGAAAACUUAGGCCAAGACUCACCUCUCGAUACUUGGCAGUUGGCAGCAGGAAUUAACUUCUCUUCAUCUCCCUUUCUGGUGGUUGGUGUAUGAGAGAAGGAAUGAAGUGUUAGGCUGGUGCUUUAAUAAGUGAGUUGUUGGCUGUAAAGUCAAAGGAUUGGAGAUGGUGGUUGGCUGAAUUGAAGGGAGGAGCCGAUUGGUCUUCUCUCAUUUUUCUUCUUUUUACACUCACGCGUUAUCUCCCGCAUGCUUGUAGGUUUCUCUCAUUUUUCUUCUUUUUAUUCUCAC
RNAcentral lists this long non-coding RNA (457 nucleotides) under Salvia miltiorrhiza (redroot sage). RNAcentral's name for it is "long non-coding RNA (SMIL_LNC011158)". The record is from RNAcentral. Lineage: Eukaryota; Viridiplantae; Streptophyta; Magnoliopsida; Lamiales; Lamiaceae.